CAGAAGAUAGAAGGUCUUGGAGGAUUUAUCUGAUGACCUGUCCCCAGUAGAGGUAAUGCAUGCUCUAAGUGAGAUUUCACCUGGGAUAUUUGUCACAGUUAUGACCAUACAUACUUAAGGCAGGUCAGUUCAAACUUGUUCAAAAGAUUAGGCAAAAGAAACCCCAGCUAUUAAUUUCUCCUUUUUUUUUUUUCAUCCUUUUAUCUGUGAAGGUGAAACUGAAAGGUUUUGGUUUCUGUAGCCCAGCAAAGAAAGGUAGAGAUUGAUUAAGGUGUUUGUCUGUGAGGGAGAUGGGAUCAUGUUUUCUGAUGGGAAGAUGGUAGCCUACCUGCAAACAAGAGGAAAUUGAGUAGCAACAUAUGACUGUGAAUAGACAAUGAGCACUUUUAAACUGGAAAUGAGGAAGGCUCCCAUCUACCAGAAGAAUGAGACUCUGGAAAGAGCAGGGUCAGGAAAGCUGACCAACUUGUUUUUAAGAUUGCAUUAAUGAAAGUCAUGCUAUUACAGGUGUGCCUGGAGCAUCACAACAGAUUGACUACACCCCUGCAAGUAGCUUCCAUUCCCUUUGUGAAGGGAAGGUAGUAAAAACUGCUUAAUCUGAAUAUGCUGUGGUUCUAAAAUACUUGUUUUUCAGUAUUUCUACCUUCUUUAAAGCAGGUCAUUGCUCACUUGAGACCUUCACAAACCCAGUUCUCUCUUAGGAAUGAUUCCCAAAAAUGGAAGGUGUCCCCUCACCCAGGGACACAGAGGCAGGGAGCUGCUUCUGCAGGGCUGACAUUGCUGCUGUGCUGCUGCUGCUGCUGCUGGCGAACAAACAGAGCUCUGUUCAUUUUCUGCUCCAGCAGAACGAGCAGGGGGCGGGGAAUGGGACAGAAGAAGGAUGAGCUCGGGGAUGGAGGCUGCUCAAUAGAAUGAGAAAAACAUGAUGAGAGAAGACAAUGUAUAUUCCAUUUCAUAAAGAAAUUCAUUCAAUUACACAUGUUAAACAAAAUUUGGAAGGGUUUGCCCUUUUAUUGUUGUUCACAGGACUGCUUAUCUGUUCAUUUUUUUCUGUUUUGCAUGCUAAUGAUAAAUCAAAGCUGAUCAUCUUGUCAUUGCCAUUGAUCCUGAUUUAGGGAAAACUAAAAACAUAAAAUACUUUCCAUUUUUCUCAUUGCUUAUUUCUCCCUGCAUUCCAAAUAACAAGCUGCUGUUGUGAUAUGAAAAUCAUUUUAAAGACUGAAGCAUCCAGACUGUACUCACAACACAGGAAGAGACAUGCUUGUGUUCUAUUGGCCACUUUGGAAGUCUCAGUCUGUAUAUUUUUCAUCAAUUUGAAUUAUGUUGCUUUGGUCCUUCUGAAAACAAAGCAACUAGUAAUGAAAAAAAAAAUCUGUUACAAGUUUUAUAAGACACAGUACUUUCAAAAAUGUGGCAUUUUAGAACUGUGGCUGUUAAAUUUGUUGGCCUCUGCAUGACUGGUCUACUAAGAAGCUGUACUGGUGUUGUUCUAGUAAGUUAAAAAUGUUAUUUUAAAAUGUUUUUUUACUGUCACUAGAACAAUGCAUGAUAUAAGACGAGCAAAUUCUGAAACACAAGAGUCUUAAUUCUGUGUCUGAGAGAUUCUGCAUUUUCAUUUGGACAGAGAAGUCAGCAAUGAAGGAGAAGGCAGCUGGCACUCAUCAUUGACAGAAGAGGAGACAGUGUGUGAAAAAAGUAUUUUUACUUAACAAACUCAUACCAGAUAAUCCUAAUGAAGCUGCAGGAUGUCAGUUGUAGAAAGCAGCAGCCAAAUCUCACAGAUUUUCAUGAAACUUAACAAAAUAAGCCAGGAGUCUAGGGGUGCACAAUGAGUUGGGAGGAGACACAGUCAGGACAGCUGACCCCAGCUGACACAAGGGAUAUUCCAGACCAAGUGUCCUCAUGCUCGGCAUAAAAAGAUCUGAUGAAAGAAGAAGAAGGGACAUUUGGAGUGAUGUCAUCUGUCUUCCCAAGUUACCUUUAUGCAUGAUGGAGCCCUGAUUUCCUGGGGAUGGCUGAGCACCUCCCUGCCCAUGGAAAGAAGUGAAUGAAUUGCUUGUUCUGCUUGUGUUCUGCUGUUCUUCUCCUUGUGUGUGUGUCUUUUACUUUUGCAAAUAAAUCG
Passer montanus (Eurasian tree sparrow) is the source of this 2122-nucleotide long non-coding RNA. RefSeq lists it as uncharacterized. NCBI's taxonomy places the organism in Eukaryota, Metazoa, Chordata, Aves, Passeriformes, Passeridae. The record is from RefSeq and is a predicted model, not a curated record. The transcript is spliced from 3 exons.